GUUUGCUUCAGCAACACACAUAGUAAAAUUGAAACAAUACAGAAAAGAUGAACAGAGUACAGGUCAAGAUGAUAUACACAUUUAUGAGGUAUUUUCCAUUUGU
Physeter macrocephalus (sperm whale) is the source of this 103-nucleotide small nuclear RNA. The record is from Ensembl. NCBI's taxonomy places the organism in Eukaryota, Metazoa, Chordata, Mammalia, Artiodactyla, Physeteridae.